Molecule: ribosomal RNA, 124 nt
Filed under: Glarea lozoyensis 74030
Lineage: Eukaryota; Fungi; Ascomycota; Leotiomycetes; Helotiales; Helotiaceae
Source: RNAcentral
ACAUACGACCAUAGACUGAGGAGAACUAGGCAUCCCGUCCGCUCUGCCAAAUAUAAGCCUCAGAUCGGUAGAUUANUUAGUAGUUGGGUGGGUGACCACCAGCGAAUACCUACUGUUGUAUGUU